GGACUACAGGGGUUUCUAAUCCUGUUCGCUACCCACGCUUUCGUCCAUCAGCGUCAAUAUAUUAGUAGUAACCUGCCUUCGCAAUUGGUAUUCCAUGUAAUCUCUAAGCAUUUCACCGCUACACUACAUAUUCUAGUUACUUCCUAAUAAUUCAAGUCAGACAGUAUCAAUGGCCGUUCCACCGUUGAGCGAUGGGCUUUCACCACUGACUUAUCUGACCGCCUACGGACCCUUUAAACCCAAUGAUUCCGGAUAACGCUUGGAUCCUCCGUAUUACCGCGGCGGCUGGCAC
RNAcentral lists this unclassified non-coding RNA (292 nucleotides) under uncultured Flavobacteriaceae bacterium. Its description in RNAcentral is "contains 16S-23S intergenic spacer region". Lineage: Bacteria; Pseudomonadati; Bacteroidota; Flavobacteriia; Flavobacteriales; Flavobacteriaceae. The record is from RNAcentral.